Long non-coding RNA from Carassius auratus (goldfish), 1117 nucleotides. RefSeq lists it as uncharacterized. NCBI's taxonomy places the organism in Eukaryota, Metazoa, Chordata, Actinopteri, Cypriniformes, Cyprinidae. The record is from RefSeq and is a predicted model, not a curated record. The transcript has 2 exons.
AUAAGGCAGGCUGAGCACUUGAAAAGGCCGGGAGCGUGUGGCCAUGUCUGGGCAGAAUCCACCAGUCAAGCAAUGAAGACGACACACUGUAGCACUCAGCAGAAGAGGAAAGAUGGGAACAGAGAGGUGUGGGGAGGGUUUUCAUUUGUUGCUAGAUUGAGUUGGCUUUAGGCAGUGUUUUUUUUUCUUCUCUGAACUGGGGUAGACUUUACAUUAUGCUAAUUACAACAUCUGAGACUAUUUUAAAGUCUUUUCUCAUUCUUUAAUUGCCAAAGAAGUUGAGAUGGAAUGUCUUAAAAUUAUUUCAGAUUAAACAGGGGCAGCCAAUUUCAUAUCUGGGAUGUCAAAAUGUCUUUGAAUAUUUUUCAAUUCUUCUAUACGUAUAAUGGCACUAUAUAUAUAUAUUAUAUAUAGCUCCAUUUUGAUUCGGACCGAGACGCUUGGUGAUAUCUCUGUUUUACGAGACAGCAAAUGGAAGAUUUUACACCUCUGGCACUGGAAAUGGUGCUGUUAAAGGAAAUGGAGGUAUGAGCGUGUUCCUGGGUUUUCACCUGAGGUGUCAUAGCUUGUCUUUGAUCUACUGUAUAUCAGUCUCCUGUAUCCAGGAGUAUAAAGGGGGCAGUUUGUGGAUUUUAAGGUUUCCAUGUGCCAGAAUGAGAAACCUUCAGGUCUAUUUAAAUGUGAGAAGAUGUUUGAGUGCUAGAUGUGCUCGUCCUCUCCUGCUUGGCUGGCUAGCCUCCAUGUCCCUUGUCUAUGGACACUUGUCAAUGCAUCAAAAGGAAAAGAUAACUACAUACAGGUAAGCAGCGAGAAUGAUUUGCUGAACAUAUGAACAUUGCUGAACAUAAGCUCCGUUAGUCUGCCGUUCUCUCUGUCUGAAGCAGCACGCCUUGCUGUGGCUGGUCAAAUGGAACCAAGUCAGGUGUUUCUGUGAGGUUUGGUCCCCUUCAACCAGCUACUGCGUCGUGAAUACAGCCAACAUAGAGCAGACAUUACAAGAGAGUCAUUCAGUAGUCUGCUUCUUUGGAAUUUAAAAUGUACUAACCCUAAAAAAUGUAAAUUUUUUCAUUAGGAUUUUUAUUUCUCAUAAAAUUCAAUAAACUAUUUCCUUUUUCAA